This 425-nucleotide ribosomal RNA is filed under the name uncultured bacterium. RNAcentral describes it as "bacterial SSU rRNA". It matches the Rfam family "Bacterial small subunit ribosomal RNA", at positions 354 to 796 of the family's 1533-position model. The record is from RNAcentral.
GUAGGGAAUCUUGCGCAAUGGGCGAAAGCCUGACGCAGCCAUGCCGCGUGAAUGAUGAAGGUCUUAGGAUUGUAAAAUUCUUUCACCGGGGAAGAUAAUGACGGUACCCGGAGAAGAAGCCCCGGCUAACUUCGUGCCAGCAGCCGCGGUAAUACGAAGGGGGCUAGCGUUGCUCGGAAUUACUGGGCGUAAAGGGCGCGUAGGCGGACAGUUUAGUCAGAGGUGAAAGCCCAGGGCUCAACCUUGGAAUUGCCUUUGAUACUGGCUGUCUUGAGUUCGGGAGAGGUGAGUGGAAUGCCGAGUGUAGAGGUGAAAUUCGUAGAUAUUCGGCGGAACACCAGUGGCGAAGGCGACUCACUGGCCCGAUACUGACGCUGAGGCGCGAAAGCGUGGGGAGCAAACAGGAUUAGAUACCCCAGUAGUCC